RNAcentral lists this transfer RNA (68 nucleotides) under Barbatia virescens. Its description in RNAcentral is "tRNA-Thr". The record is from RNAcentral. Lineage: Eukaryota; Metazoa; Mollusca; Bivalvia; Arcoida; Arcidae.
CCCAAAAGGGUUUGGGGGAAGGGUCCCGUAAAAAAUUUCCGGUGGUUUGGUUUUUCCCCUUUUGGGUC